AUGAGAGUUUGAUCCUGGCUCAGGACGAACGCUGGCGGCGUGCCUAAUACAUGCAAGUCGAACGCUUCUUUCCUCCCGAGUGCUUGCACUCAAUUGGAAAGAGGAGUGGCGGACGGGUGAGUAACACGUGGGUAACCUACCCAUCAGAGGGGGAUAACACUUGGAAACAGGUGCUAAUACCGCAUAACAGUUUAUGCCGCAUGGCAUAAGAGUGAAAGGCGCUUUCGGGUGUCGCUGAUGGAUGGACCCGCGGUGCAUUAGCUAGUUGGUGAGGUAACGGCUCACCAAGGCCACGAUGCAUAGCCGACCUGAGAGGGUGAUCGGCCACACUGGGACUGAGACACGGCCCAGACUCCUACGGGAGGCAGCAGUAGGGAAUCUUCGGCAAUGGACGAAAGUCUGACCGAGCAACGCCGCGUGAGUGAAGAAGGUUUUCGGAUCGUAAAACUCUGUUGUUAGAGAAGAACAAGGACGUUAGUAACUGAACGUCCCCUGACGGUAUCUAACCAGAAAGCCACGGCUAACUACGUGCCAGCAGCCGCGGUAAUACGUAGGUGGCAAGCGUUGUCCGGAUUUAUUGGGCGUAAAGCGAGCGCAGGCGGUUUCUUAAGUCUGAUGUGAAAG
RNAcentral lists this ribosomal RNA (624 nucleotides) under Enterococcus faecalis. RNAcentral describes it as "bacterial SSU rRNA". It matches the Rfam family "Bacterial small subunit ribosomal RNA", at positions 1 to 600 of the family's 1533-position model. The record is from RNAcentral. Lineage: Bacteria; Bacillati; Bacillota; Bacilli; Lactobacillales; Enterococcaceae.